This 228-nucleotide ribosomal RNA is filed under the name uncultured bacterium. RNAcentral's name for it is "partial 16S ribosomal RNA". It matches the Rfam family "Bacterial small subunit ribosomal RNA", at positions 103 to 334 of the family's 1533-position model. The record is from RNAcentral.
CGGGUGAGUAAUGUCUGGGAAACUGCCUGAUGGAGGGGGAUAACUACUGGAAACGGUAGCUAAUACCGCAUAACGUCGCAAGACCAAAGAGGGGGGCCUUCGGGCCUCUUGCCAUCGGAUGUGCCCAGAUGGGAUUAGCUAGUAGGUGGGGUAGCGGCUCACCUAGGCGACGAUCCCUAGCUGGUCUGAGAGGAUGACCAGCCACACUGGAACUGAGACACGGUCCAG